RNAcentral lists this microRNA (22 nucleotides) under Gyrodactylus salaris (gyrodactylosis fluke). Its description in RNAcentral is "gsa-miR-2001-5p". The record is from miRBase by way of RNAcentral. Lineage: Eukaryota; Metazoa; Platyhelminthes; Monogenea; Gyrodactylidea; Gyrodactylidae.
UUGUGACCGUUUUAAUAGGCCA